CUGACUGUGCUAAGGUAGCAUAAUCAUUUGUUAUCUAAAUGAUAACUAGUAUGAAUGGUCUGACGAGAAAAUAACUUUCUAAAAAGAAAAGAUGAAAAUUUAUUUUAAAGUAAAAAAGCUUUAUAACUUUAGAAAGACGAGAAGACCCUAGAACCUUUUCUAUCUGUAUAGUUUGUUGGGGUGACAUUAUUCAAAACAAAUAACUAUUAAAACUUAUUGAUUGAUUCUAUCUAUCUUUAUUAAAAAAAAAAAAGGUACUCUAGGGAUAACAGCAUAAUCUUCUUCUAGAGCCCUAAUCGACAAGAAAGAUUUUGACCUCGAUGUUGAAUUGAUAUUUCUUUCUAAAGCAGAAUU
RNAcentral lists this ribosomal RNA (354 nucleotides) under Armadillo officinalis (oak-woodland pillbug). RNAcentral describes it as "partial large subunit ribosomal RNA". It matches the Rfam family "Bacterial large subunit ribosomal RNA", at positions 1942 to 2562 of the family's 2925-position model. The record is from RNAcentral. Lineage: Eukaryota; Metazoa; Arthropoda; Malacostraca; Isopoda; Armadillidae.